CAUGCAAGUCGAGCGCCCCGCAAGGGGAGCGGCAGACGGGUGAGUAACGCGUGGGAAUCUACCCAUCUCUACGGAACAACUCCGGGAAACUGGAGCUAAUACCGUAUACGUCCUUUUGGAGAAAGAUUUAUCGGAGAUGGAUGAGCCCGCGUUGGAUUAGCUAGUUGGUGGGGUAAUGGCCUACCAAGGCGACGAUCCAUAGCUGGUCUGAGAGGAUGAUCAGCCACACUGGGACUGAGACACGGCCCAGACUCCUACGGGAGGCAGCAGUGGGGAAUAUUGGACAAUGGGCGAAAGCCUGAUCCAGCCAUGCCGCGUGAGUGAUGAAGGCCUUAGGGUUGUAAAGCUCUUUCAGUGGGGACGAUAAUGACGGUACCCACAGAAGAAGCCCCGGCUAACUUCGUGCCAGCAGCCGCGGUAAUACGAAGGGGGCUAGCGUUGUUCGGAUUUACUGGGCGUAAAGCGCACGUAGGCGGAUCGUUAAGUUGGGGGUGAAAUCCUGGAGCUCAACUCCAGAACUGCCUUCAAUACUGGCGAUCUAGAGUCCGGAAGAGGUGAGUGGAACUCCUAGUGUAGAGGUGGAAUUCGUAGAUAUUAGGAAGAACACCAGUGGCGAANGCGGCUCACUGGUCCGGUACUGACGCUGA
Molecule: ribosomal RNA, 647 nt
Filed under: uncultured bacterium
Lineage: Bacteria
Description: bacterial SSU rRNA
Rfam family: Bacterial small subunit ribosomal RNA
Source: RNAcentral